GCUCCUCUCCCUUUUGGCUCCUGCUUUGGGCUCCCCAAGUCUGUCUCUACCCCCUCACAGCACAGGACCCAGGCUUGGCCAGUGAGUCCGCAGGUGGGGGUGGGAGUGGUCAGUUCGUGGACCAAGGCCAAUAAGAGAUGGCUAUUCUAAUGGUGCCUAGCUGACUCCAGGGUCACUGUGGGCUGAUGUAGCUGCUCUUCUGCCUGACCCCUAACCCUGAAUGUGUUCGCGUGUUCGUCUUCCAUAAGCCUUUGGGCAAGGGGGAGCUUGACCCUACAUCUGCUGUCUGCCCCCAGCCCAACCCUCCUUUGAGGCCCAUUCUGUGACACAUCCUGUUUUUCAGCAAAUGGAGGGAACAGCCACAGUUAUUUCCCCGUGAAUGCAGGGCCCUGUGCGAGGGCCGAGGCUGACUUUGUCUUUGUCCUGGGCUGGAGAGUCUCACAGUUUGAUUGGAGAGAUAGAUCCAAACUCAGAUGCAGGCCCCAACAGCACUGUGGGGUGCCCGCCAUGGGGCUCCAGGCAGGAUCAGUACCCUGAGAACAAUAGUGAGGCUUGAAAAAUGAGCAGAUGUUGUUUUCCUACAGGCAAAAGGCGACAGGCACUCCUGCCUGGUAAAAGAAACUGCUUUUGCAAAGGCCCCGAGAAGGGAAGGGACUGGCAGGUGGAGGAGCUGAGGGAUGGAGGAGGAAGCAGGGCCAGAUCACGAAGGGCCUUAAAUGCCAGCUUGUGGAGUUUGGCUUUAUUCUGUGGGCAGUGGAGAACUAGAGAAAGGUUUUCAGCAGGAGAGUGACUCAGAAGUGCAUUUUAGAAAGAUGCCCCUGGAGAGCAGGGAUGUGAUUGCAAAGGGAGAGGGUGGGCAGGGAUUAUUCUAUGGGUGAUAUGUGAUGCUCACCCUGGGCUGGGCAAGGAGAGGAACUUAAGAGAUGCUGGGUUGGCAGAACGUGGUGACCAAUGAGACGGGGGAUGCAGAGGGAGGACUUGGAGGGGCUCUGGGAAGUGGGGUCUAUGCCACUCCAAGGCGAGCCAUGGGGGCUCUGCUCGGCAUCACCCUCACCCACAACAGGUAUUGGGUAGAGCCUCUGGCGGGGGGGAGCUCCCUGCAAAGGUGAGCAAGACAGCUGUCUGGGGUUCCCCAGGGAGGAGAGGUGGGAGGAAGGGAGGGAGGACAGAUGGGAGAAGGCUCUGCACAGAGCCUGAGGGCAGCCCUCACCAGGUUACAGAACACAAGGCUUGACCCCAUUGGCUUCCUGUAAGCAGUCCUGCUCUGCCAACUUAAUGGCUUCAUUUUGCAUGUUAUUUAAAUCUUGCAAUGAUUCCAGCAGACACUGUUAGUCUAUUCUGCUGUCAGGUUGCCUGAGGUUCAGAGAGGUUAAGUAAUGCACCAAGGUUAGGAUGUGAGCCCCACCUGUCUGAAUCCUCCCUCCCUCCCUGGGAUAGAGGAGGGAGACUCAGAAGGAUGAGUCUCCAUCUUCAGUCUUUACAAAACUAUUGUAGGGCGUUGGUAUGAUGAAAACAAAGU
Long non-coding RNA from Cebus imitator (Panamanian white-faced capuchin), 1519 nucleotides. RefSeq lists it as uncharacterized. The transcript is spliced from 3 exons. NCBI's taxonomy places the organism in Eukaryota, Metazoa, Chordata, Mammalia, Primates, Cebidae. The record is from RefSeq and is a predicted model, not a curated record.